AUCCAGCUGACCAGUCCCAAAUACAACGAAACGCGCGUCAAACUGGAU
Molecule: non-coding RNA, 48 nt
Organism: Schistosoma mansoni
Lineage: Eukaryota; Metazoa; Platyhelminthes; Trematoda; Strigeidida; Schistosomatidae
Source: Rfam